RNAcentral lists this ribosomal RNA (91 nucleotides) under uncultured bacterium. RNAcentral's name for it is "partial 16S ribosomal RNA". It matches the Rfam family "Bacterial small subunit ribosomal RNA", at positions 524 to 614 of the family's 1533-position model. The record is from RNAcentral.
UACGGAGGGUGCGAGCGUUAAUCGGAAUCACUGGGCGUAAAGCGUGCGUAGGCGGCGUGUCAAGUCAGACGUGAAAGCCCUAGGCUCAACC